AUCGCUUCCUCCUGGCCUUUUCGCUAGUGAUCAAAAGUGUAAGUAUCUGUUCUUAAAAUCAGCUUAAUAUCUGAUACGUCCCAUGUUGGGAUCUACGAUAUUAAAUGAUUUUUUGGAACAUGUCGAAGUGCUAGGGCUUCUCCACCUUUGCCGCGGUAUCGGCCCGGUAUUGCAGUACCUCCGGGAUUGGUCCACUCCCU
This is a small nuclear RNA of Penaeus monodon (black tiger shrimp), 200 nucleotides long. RefSeq annotates it as U2 spliceosomal RNA. The transcript has a single exon. NCBI's taxonomy places the organism in Eukaryota, Metazoa, Arthropoda, Malacostraca, Decapoda, Penaeidae. The record is from RefSeq and is a predicted model, not a curated record.